CCUCUGCACGACCUCCUCCACGUGCGCAUCACUCCAAGUCCAGGACUUUGAGGCUUGUGAGGACACCGAAGAGUAUCGAGCCGUUGGAGGGUUAUAGCUGUGGCUGAUCUUAUGAUCCGGCUCCUACUCACCCCUCCGAUGACCUUGAGCCUUCCCUUAAGAUUAAGGAGGGGUUGAGUGGAUGGGUCAUCACCAUGUCGCACAACAAUAUACUCCAUGUAAUCUGCCUACAUAGUUCAAAAAUAUAUUAGUUCUAAUAUACAUAUC
This 267-nucleotide long non-coding RNA is filed under the name Elaeis guineensis (African oil palm). RNAcentral's name for it is "long non-coding RNA (EGUI_LNC009580)". Lineage: Eukaryota; Viridiplantae; Streptophyta; Magnoliopsida; Arecales; Arecaceae. The record is from RNAcentral.